GCCUACGGGGGGCAGCAGUGAGGAAUAUUGGUCAAUGGUCGGGAGACUGAACCAGCCAAGCCGCGUGAGGGAUGAAGGUACAGAGUAUCGUAAACCUCUUUUGUCAGGGAACAAAGGCGGGGACGUGUCUCCGGAUGAGUGUACCUGAAGAAAAAGCAUCGGCUAACUCCGUGCCAGCAGCCGCGGUAAUACGGAGGAUGCGAGCGUUAUCCGGAUUUAUUGGGUUUAAAGGGUGCGCAGGCGGUCUGUUAAGUCAGCGGUCAAAGCCCGGGGCUCAACCCCGGCCCGCCGUUGAAACUGGCAGG
This 305-nucleotide ribosomal RNA is filed under the name uncultured bacterium. RNAcentral's name for it is "bacterial SSU rRNA". It matches the Rfam family "Bacterial small subunit ribosomal RNA", at positions 337 to 640 of the family's 1533-position model. The record is from RNAcentral.